CCUACGGGUGGCAGCAGUGAGGAAUAUUGGUCAAUGGGCGCGAGCCUGAACCAGCCAAGUAGCGUGAAGGACGACUGUCCUACGGGUUGUAAACUUCUUUUAUAAAGGAAUAAAGUGAGGCACGUGUGCCUUUUUGUAGGUACUUUAUGAAUAAGGAUCGGCUAACUCCGUGCCAGCAGCCGCGGUAAUACGGAGGAUCCGAGCGUUAUCCGGAUUUAUUGGGUUUAAAGGGAGCGUAGAUGGGUUGUUAAGUCAGUUGUGAAAGCUUGCGGCUCAACCGUGAAAUUGCAAUUGAUACUGGCAGCCUUGAGAACAGUUGAGGUAGGCGGAAUGCGUAGUGUAGCGGUGAAAUGCUUAGAUAUCACGAAGAACUCCGAUUGCGAAGGCAGCAUACU
RNAcentral lists this ribosomal RNA (395 nucleotides) under uncultured bacterium. RNAcentral's name for it is "partial 16S ribosomal RNA". It matches the Rfam family "Bacterial small subunit ribosomal RNA", at positions 338 to 730 of the family's 1533-position model. The record is from RNAcentral.